AAAAUGACUCUCGGCAACGGAUAUCUCGGCUCUCGCAUCGAUGAAGAACGCAGCGAAAUGCGAUACUUGGUGUGAAUUGCAGAAUCCCGCGAACCAUCGAGUCUUUGAACGCAAGUUGCGCCCAAAGCCUUUCGGUUGAGGGCACGUCUGCCUGGGUGUCACGCAACAU
This 169-nucleotide ribosomal RNA is filed under the name Croton poecilanthus. RNAcentral's name for it is "5.8S ribosomal RNA". It matches the Rfam family "5.8S ribosomal RNA". Rfam says of the family: 5.8S ribosomal RNA (5.8S rRNA) is a component of the large subunit of the eukaryotic ribosome. It is transcribed by RNA polymerase I as part of the 45S precursor that also contains 18S and 28S rRNA. Functionally, it is thought that 5.8S rRNA may be involved in ribosome translocation. Lineage: Eukaryota; Viridiplantae; Streptophyta; Magnoliopsida; Malpighiales; Euphorbiaceae. The record is from RNAcentral.